AUUAGGGAGUCUAGCAAUGCAUUUGUGGUUGUCUCAAAUGCAAUAUGAAGCCAUGAUGAGUCAUAUGCAAUUGUGGCACAUACAGAGAACCUUCAUGGAGCUCACUCUUUACUUGCUAUAGUCUUGGUUCUUCUCAAAGUUUCCAGUCACAUAGAACCAGCUUUUCAUCAUACAGGCUUCUCUAGUAUGCUGGAAUCAGAUUGCAGGGCAAAUGUAGUUAGUACUUUUGAUGUGUUUUU
Long non-coding RNA from Musa acuminata AAA Group (dessert banana), 239 nucleotides. RefSeq lists it as uncharacterized. The transcript is spliced from 2 exons. The record is from RefSeq and is a predicted model, not a curated record. NCBI's taxonomy places the organism in Eukaryota, Viridiplantae, Streptophyta, Magnoliopsida, Zingiberales, Musaceae.